This 401-nucleotide ribosomal RNA is filed under the name uncultured Sphingomonadales bacterium. Its description in RNAcentral is "bacterial SSU rRNA". It matches the Rfam family "Bacterial small subunit ribosomal RNA", at positions 382 to 774 of the family's 1533-position model. The record is from RNAcentral. Lineage: Bacteria; Pseudomonadati; Pseudomonadota; Alphaproteobacteria; Sphingomonadales.
CCUGACGACGCAACGCCGCGUGGAGGAUGAAGACCUUCGGGUCGUAAACUCCUUUCGAUCGAGACGAAUAGCCUUCGGGUGAACAAUCCGGAGGAAUGACGGUACCGAGAGAAGAAGCCCCGGCUAACUCCGUGCCAGCAGCCGCGGUAAUACGGGGGGGGCAAGCGUUGUUCGGAAUUACUGGGCGUAAAGCGCGCGUAGGCGGCUUUUUAAGUCAGAGGUGAAAGCCCGGGGCUCAACCCCGGAAUUGCCUUUGAAACUGGAAAGCUAGAAUCUUGGAGAGGUCAGUGGAAUUCCGAGUGUAGAGGUGAAAUUCGUAGAUAUUCGGAAGAACACCAGUGGCGAAGGCGACUGACUGGACAAGUAUUGACGCUGAGGUGCGAAAGCGUGGGGAGCAAACA